Molecule: transfer RNA, 72 nt
Filed under: Camelus bactrianus (Bactrian camel)
Lineage: Eukaryota; Metazoa; Chordata; Mammalia; Artiodactyla; Camelidae
Also listed under: 1 other name
Rfam family: tRNA
About the family: Transfer RNA (tRNA) molecules are approximately 80 nucleotides in length. Their secondary structure includes four short double-helical elements and three loops (D, anti-codon, and T loops). Further hydrogen bonds mediate the characteristic L-shaped molecular structure. tRNAs have two regions of fundamental functional importance: the anti-codon, which is responsible for specific mRNA codon recognition, and the 3' end, to which the tRNAs corresponding amino acid is attached (by aminoacyl-tRNA synthetases). tRNAs cope with the degeneracy of the genetic code in two manners: having more than one tRNA (with a specific anti-codon) for a particular amino acid; and 'wobble' base-pairing, i.e. permitting non-standard base-pairing at the 3rd anti-codon position.
Source: Rfam by way of RNAcentral
GAGGGGAUAGCUCAGUGGUAGGGUGCAUGCCUAGCAGACAUGAGGUCCUGGGUUCAAUUCCCAGUACCUGCA